RNAcentral lists this ribosomal RNA (301 nucleotides) under uncultured bacterium. RNAcentral describes it as "partial 16S ribosomal RNA". It matches the Rfam family "Bacterial small subunit ribosomal RNA", at positions 509 to 807 of the family's 1533-position model. The record is from RNAcentral.
CAGCAGCCACGGUAAUACGAAGGGUGCAAGCGUUAAUCGGAAUUACUGGGCGUAAAGCGCGCGUAGGUGGUUUGGUAAGAUGGAUGUGAAAUCCCCGGGCUCAACCUGGGAACUGCAUCCAUAACUGCCUGACUAGAGUACGGUAGAGGGUGGUGGAAUUUCCUGUGUAGCGGUGAAAUGCGUAGAUAUAGGAAGGAACACCAGUGGCGAAGGCGACCACCUGGACUGAUACUGACACUGAGGUGCGAAAGCGUGGGGAGCAAACAGGAUUAGAUACCCCAGUAGUCCCUGUCUCUUAUAC